AUUCAUUAACAGUGCUCCACUUUAACUCCAACAUAUUUAACUUUGUUGCCUUUUGAAACUGACGUUCGGUGGUUCCACUCCUUCCCGGGCCUCCGCGACGUAUUUCUCACUAUUUUACUACUUUUCCGUGUAAUUUAUUAUCCUUCGUUCCCUUGUAGUGUACAUCCACGAAAAACAAAGAGGAAAAGGCGAACCCGACGAAAAUGCUCGACGUCUUUUGCACGGCGCGUUGUUAAACCGCACUGCCGCCGGGCGCUGGCGGGCAAAGGACACGCGAGCCUCCUGUUUGUAUACUUUUUUACGUGUAUGCGUCUGCUUGUUUGUCUGCGGGGAUAGAAUACUGAGCUAAAGUGCCCACUCCGAGUCAGUCACCCGUCGGCCCGCCCGCCGGUCACCUUCCACAUCAAGGUUACGCCGUCAUAACGGACAGCAACUAUGUAAUUUUUCUUUAUAGUUACCCCAUCGUUCCACUGUGAAAAAUAGUAGGUGCAAGCUGUUCCCAACAGUGUUCCGCCCGGACGACCAUUGAGACGUUAAAGACUCGUAAACAGAAUCUCCUCUGACUGACGGCUGCGAAUCGAUUGAGGGUCGAACUGGUGUGUCGAACCGGCGAGACCACGUGUGGGCCACGCGUGGCGGGGCGCAGCACAGUCUUCAAGCCCUCAUUAUUCUACGUGAAGAAAUAGAAUCGUUAAUUAUAUUUCCCAAUGACAACGGAUUAAAAUUGCGUGUCCAAACUCCAA
Molecule: long non-coding RNA, 743 nt
Organism: Frankliniella occidentalis (western flower thrips)
Lineage: Eukaryota; Metazoa; Arthropoda; Insecta; Thysanoptera; Thripidae
Exons: 2
Source: RefSeq, a predicted model, not a curated record